This 253-nucleotide ribosomal RNA is filed under the name uncultured Eubacteriales bacterium. RNAcentral's name for it is "uncultured Clostridiales bacterium partial 16S ribosomal RNA". It matches the Rfam family "Bacterial small subunit ribosomal RNA", at positions 524 to 776 of the family's 1533-position model. The record is from RNAcentral. Lineage: Bacteria; Bacillati; Bacillota; Clostridia; Eubacteriales.
UACGUAGGGGGCAAGCGUUAUCCGGAUUUACUGGGUGUAAAGGGAGCGUAGGCGGCUUAGUAAGUCAGAAGUGAAAGCCCGCAGCUCAACUGCGGGACUGCUUUUGAAACUGCCAGGCUAGAGUGUCGGAGAGGUAAGUGGAAUUCCUAGUGUAGCGGUGAAAUGCGUAGAUAUUACACAGAACACCGAUUGCGAAGGCAGCUUGCUAGGCCGGAUCUGACACUGAUGCACGAAAGCGUGGGGAUCGAACAGG